GAGUGGCGGACGGGUGAGUAAUGCGCAGGAAUAUGCCUUAAAGUGGGGGACAACUUGGGGAAACUCAAGCUAAUACCGCAUAUGCUCUGAGGAGCGAAGCUGGGGACCUUUGGGCCUGGCGCUUUAAGAAUAGCCUGCGUCUGAUUAGCUAGUUGGUGGGGUAAAGGCCUACCAAGGCGAUGAUCAGUAGCUGGUCUGAGAGGAUGGACAGCCACACUGGGACUGAGACACGGCCCAGACUCC
This 243-nucleotide ribosomal RNA is filed under the name uncultured bacterium. Its description in RNAcentral is "partial 16S ribosomal RNA". It matches the Rfam family "Bacterial small subunit ribosomal RNA", at positions 93 to 339 of the family's 1533-position model. The record is from RNAcentral.